Molecule: ribosomal RNA, 440 nt
Filed under: uncultured bacterium
Lineage: Bacteria
Description: bacterial SSU rRNA
Rfam family: Bacterial small subunit ribosomal RNA
Source: RNAcentral
CCUACGGGAGGCAGCAGUGGGGAAUAUUGGACAAUGGGCGCAAGCCUGAUCCAGCCAUGCCGCGUGUGUGAAGAAGGCUUUCGGGUUGUAAAGCACUUUCAGUGGGGAAGAAGGCCUGUCGGCUAAUACCCGGCAGGGACGACAUCACCCACAGAAGAAGCACCGGCUAACUCCGUGCCAGCAGCCGCGGUAAUACGGAGGGUGCGAGCGUUAAUCGGAAUUACUGGGCGUAAAGCGCGCGUAGGUGGCUUGAUAAGCCGGUUGUGAAAGCCCCGGGCUCAACCUGGGAACGGCAUCCGGAACUGUCAGGCUAGAGUGCAGGAGAGGAAGGUAGAAUUCCCGGUGUAGCGGUGAAAUGCGUAGAGAUCGGGAGGAAUACCAGUGGCGAAGGCGGCCUUCUGGACUGACACUGACACUGAGGUGCGAAAGCGUGGGUAGCA